This is a small nuclear RNA of Hippoglossus stenolepis (Pacific halibut), 112 nucleotides long. RefSeq annotates it as U5 spliceosomal RNA. The record is from RefSeq and is a predicted model, not a curated record. Lineage: Eukaryota; Metazoa; Chordata; Actinopteri; Pleuronectiformes; Pleuronectidae. The transcript has a single exon.
CGACUCUGGUUUCUCUUCCUGCUGCCACAAGUCUUUAGCCUUUUUACUAAAGACCAGUGGAGAGGAACAAAUAUGAGUUGAAUAUAUUUUUACAGCAGGCUUUGCUGUAUGU